RNAcentral lists this transfer RNA (69 nucleotides) under Isonychia ignota. RNAcentral describes it as "tRNA-Lys". The record is from RNAcentral. Lineage: Eukaryota; Metazoa; Arthropoda; Insecta; Ephemeroptera; Isonychiidae.
CACUAAAUGUCUGAAGCAAGUAGUGGUCUCUUAAACCACAUAUAGUAGGUUAGCAACUACUUUUAGUGA